AGAGUUUGAUCCUGGCUCAGGAUGAACGCUGACAGAAUGCUUAACACAUGCAAGUCGACUGGAAUUCUUCUUCGGAAGAUAGUACGGUGGCGGACGGGUGAGUAACGCGUAAAGAAUUUGCCCUUCAGACUGGGACAACUAACCGAAAGGUUAGCUAAUACCGGAUAUUAUGAGACCUCGGCAUCGGGGACUUAUGAAAGCUAUAUGCGCUGGGGGAGAACUUUGCGUCCCAUUAGGUAGUUGGUAGGGUAAUGGCCUACCAAGCCAACGAUGGGUAGCCGGCCUGAGAGGGUGAACGGCCACAAGGGGACUGAGACACGGCCCUUACUCCUACGGGAGGCAGCAGUGGGGAAUAUUGGACAAUGGACCAAAAGUCUGAUCCAGCAAUUCUGUGUGCACGAUGAAGGUCUUCGGAUUGUAAAGUGCUUUCAGGUGGGAAGAAGAAAGUGACGGUACCACCAGAAGAAGCGACGCUAAAUA
RNAcentral lists this ribosomal RNA (480 nucleotides) under uncultured bacterium. RNAcentral's name for it is "bacterial SSU rRNA". It matches the Rfam family "Bacterial small subunit ribosomal RNA", at positions 8 to 503 of the family's 1533-position model. The record is from RNAcentral.